UACAGAGGUCUCAAGCGUUGUUCGGAUUCAUUGGGCGUAAAGAGCUCGUAGGCGGUCUGUUACGUCUGCUGUGAAAACCCGGGGCUUAACCCUGGGCUUGCAGUGGAUACGGGCAGACUAGAGGCAGGUAGGGGAGAAUGGAAUUCCCGGUGUAGCGGUGAAAUGCGCAGAUAUCGGGAGGAACACCAGUGGCGAAGGCGACUACCUGGCCUGUUCUUGACGCUGAGGCGCGAAAGCUAGGGUAGCAAACGGG
RNAcentral lists this ribosomal RNA (253 nucleotides) under uncultured bacterium. RNAcentral describes it as "partial 16S ribosomal RNA". It matches the Rfam family "Bacterial small subunit ribosomal RNA", at positions 524 to 776 of the family's 1533-position model. The record is from RNAcentral.